CAAUAAGCGGAGGAAAAAGAAACUAACAANGGAUUCCCCUAGUAACUGCGAGUGAAGCGGGAAAAGCUCAAAUUUAAAAUCUGGCAGUCUUUGGCUGUCCGAGUUGUAAUCUAGAGAAGCAUUAUCCGCGCUGGACCGUGUACAAGUCUCCUGGAAUGGAGCGUCAUAGAGGGUGAGAAUCCCGUCUUUGACACGGACUGCCAGGGCUUUGUGAUGUGCUCUCAAAGAGUCGAGUUGUUUGGGAAUGCAGCUCAAAAUGGGUGGUAAAUUCCAUCUAAAGCUAAAUAUUGGCGAGAGACCGAUAGCGAACAAGUACCGUGAGGGAAAGAUGAAAAGAACUUUGGAAAGAGAGUUAAACAGUACGUGAAAUUGCUGAAAGGGAAACGCUUGAAGUCAGUCGCGUUGGCCAGGGAUCAACCUUGCUUUUUUGCUUGGCUUACUUCCUGGUUAAUGGGUCAGCAUCAAUUUUGACUGGUGGAAAAAGUUCAAGGGAAUGUGGCAUCUUCGGAUGUGUUAUAGCCUUUGCUCGCAUACAUCAGUUGGGAUUGAGGAACUCAGCACGCCGCAAGGCCGGGUUUUUUUACCACGUACGUGCUUAGGAUGCUGGCAUAAUGGCUUUAAUCGACCCGUCUUGAAACACGGACCAAGGAGUCUAACAUGCCUGCGAGUGUUUGGGUGGAAAACCCGAGCGCGUAAUGAAAGUGAAAGUUGAGAUCCCUGUCGUGGGGAGCAUCGACGCCCGGAUCGGACCUUUUGUGAUGAUCCCGCGGUAGAGCAUGUAUGUUGGGACCCGAAAGAUGGUGAACUAUGCCUGAAUAGGGUGAAGCCAGAGGAAACUCUGGUGGAGGCUCGUAGCGAUUCUGACGUGCAAAUCGAUCGUCAAAUUUGGGUAUAGGGGCGAAAGACUAAUCGAACCAU
RNAcentral lists this ribosomal RNA (918 nucleotides) under Laccaria paraphysata. Its description in RNAcentral is "eukaryotic LSU rRNA". It matches the Rfam family "Eukaryotic large subunit ribosomal RNA", at positions 44 to 943 of the family's 3401-position model. Lineage: Eukaryota; Fungi; Basidiomycota; Agaricomycetes; Agaricales; Hydnangiaceae. The record is from RNAcentral.